GCGCGAGUGGCGGAACUGGCAGACGCGCUGGAUUUAGGUUCCAGUGUCCUAGGACGUGAGGGUUCGAGUCCCUUCUCGCGCACCA
RNAcentral lists this transfer RNA (85 nucleotides) under Tomitella cavernea. RNAcentral's name for it is "tRNA-Leu". It matches the Rfam family "tRNA". Rfam says of the family: Transfer RNA (tRNA) molecules are approximately 80 nucleotides in length. Their secondary structure includes four short double-helical elements and three loops (D, anti-codon, and T loops). Further hydrogen bonds mediate the characteristic L-shaped molecular structure. tRNAs have two regions of fundamental functional importance: the anti-codon, which is responsible for specific mRNA codon recognition, and the 3' end, to which the tRNAs corresponding amino acid is attached (by aminoacyl-tRNA synthetases). tRNAs cope with the degeneracy of the genetic code in two manners: having more than one tRNA (with a specific anti-codon) for a particular amino acid; and 'wobble' base-pairing, i.e. permitting non-standard base-pairing at the 3rd anti-codon position. Lineage: Bacteria; Bacillati; Actinomycetota; Actinomycetes; Mycobacteriales. The record is from RNAcentral. RNAcentral also lists the same sequence under 1 other name.